Molecule: ribosomal RNA, 444 nt
Filed under: uncultured bacterium
Lineage: Bacteria
Description: bacterial SSU rRNA
Rfam family: Bacterial small subunit ribosomal RNA
Source: RNAcentral
AACGAACGCUGGCGGCAGGCCUAACACAUGCAAGUCGAGCGAGGUAGCAAUGCCUAGCGGCGGACGGGUGAGUAACGCGUGGGAACGUGCCCUUUGCUUCGGAAUAGCCCCGGGAAACUGGGAGUAAUACCGAAUGUGCCCUUCGGGGGAAAGAUUUAUCGGCAAAGGAUCGGCCCGCGUUGGAUUAGGUAGUUGGUGGGGUAAUGGCCUACCAAGCCGACGAUCCAUAGCUGGUUUGAGAGGAUGAUCAGCCACACUGGGACUGAGACACGGCCCAGACUCCUACGGGAGGCAGCAGUGGGGAAUCUUAGACAAUGGCGCAAGCCUGAUCUAGCCAUGCCGCGUGAUCGAUGAAGGCCUUAGGGUUGUAAAGAUCUUUCAGAUGGGAAGAUAAAUGACUGUACCAUCAGAAGAAGCCCCGGCUAACUCCGUGCCAGCAGCCGC